RNAcentral lists this ribosomal RNA (492 nucleotides) under uncultured bacterium. Its description in RNAcentral is "partial 16S ribosomal RNA". It matches the Rfam family "Bacterial small subunit ribosomal RNA", at positions 29 to 507 of the family's 1533-position model. The record is from RNAcentral.
AGUGAACGCUGGCGGUAGGCCUAACACAUGCAAGUCGAACGGCAGCACAGUAAGAGCUUGCUCUUACGGGUGGCGAGUGGCGGACGGGUGAGGAAUACAUCGGAAUCUACUUUUUCGUGGGGGAUAACGUAGGGAAACUUACGCUAAUACCGCAUACGACCUACGGGUGAAAGCAGGGGAUCUUCGGACCUUGCGCGAUUGAAUGAGCCGAUGUCGGAUUAGCUAGUUGGCGGGGUAAAGGCCCACCAAGGCGACGAUCCGUAGCUGGUCUGAGAGGAUGAUCGGCCACACUGGAACUGAGACACGGUCCAGACUCCUACGGGAGGCAGCAGUGGGGAAUAUGGGACAAAGGGCGCAAGCCUGAUCCAGCCAUACCGCGUGGGUGAAGAAGGCCUUCGGGUUGUAAAGCCCUUUUGUUGGGAAAGAAAAGCAGCAGGUUAAGACCCCGCUGUUCUGACGGUACCCAAAGAAUAAGCACCGGCUAACUUCGUG